CAAGACACAGCUCCAAGUUCAACAAUUCAUGAAAUUUUGAAAAUACCAACAUACACAGGCGAAAGUUGCACUGCCGAGAACACAGGCCAAACGUUCUUGACCUCUGACAACAGUUAUCUUAUCGUAUGCGGUGGUAAUUCAAACUUGAAAUUUAUAAAGCUCACAAGUACAGCAGGAAGUAGCUGUAAAGAGCUGUAUGACAUUGGUUUACAAGGAAGCGAGCAUUCUAAGUCUUACCUACUAUUCGAAAGUACGGGGAAAACAACUUUCAAGACAUAUUGUGAUAUGACUUCAGG
This is a long non-coding RNA of Corticium candelabrum, 296 nucleotides long. RefSeq lists it as uncharacterized. The transcript has 4 exons. The record is from RefSeq and is a predicted model, not a curated record. NCBI's taxonomy places the organism in Eukaryota, Metazoa, Porifera, Homoscleromorpha, Homosclerophorida, Plakinidae.